UGGCGGGCAGGCCUAACACAUGCAAGUCGAGCGGCAGCACGGGUACUUGUACCUGGUGGCGAGCGGCGGACGGGUGAGUAAUGCCUAGGAAUCUGCCUGGUAGUGGGGGAUAACGCUCGGAAACGGACGCUAAUACCGCAUACGUCCUACGGGAGAAAGCAGGGGACCUUCGGGCCUUGCGCUAUCAGAUGAGCCUAGGUCGGAUUAGCUAGUUGGUGAGGUAAUGGCUCACCAAGGCGACGAUCCGUAACUGGUCUGAGAGGAUGAUCAGUCACACUGGAACUGAGACACGGUCCAGACUCCUACGGGAGGCAGCAGUGGGGAAUAUUGGACAAUGGGCGAAAGCCUGAUCCAGCCAUGCCGCGUGUGUGAAGAAGGUCUUCGGAUUGUAAAGCACUUUAAGUUGGGAGGAAGGGCAGUUACCUAAUACGUGAUUGUUUUGACGUUACCGACAGAAUAAGCACCGGCUAACUCUGUGCCAGCAGCCGCGGUAAUACAGAGGGUGCAAGCGUUAAUCGGAAUUACUGGGCGUAAAGCGCGCGUAGGUGGUUUGUUAAGUUGAAUGUGAAAUCCCCGGGCUCAACCUGGGAACUGCAUCCAAAACUGGCAAGCUAGAGUAUGGUAGAGGGUGGUGGAAUUUCCUGUGUAGCGGUGAAAUGCGUAGAUAUAGGAAGGAACACCAGUGGCGAAGGCGACCACCUGGACU
This 706-nucleotide ribosomal RNA is filed under the name Pseudomonas sp. RNAcentral's name for it is "bacterial SSU rRNA". It matches the Rfam family "Bacterial small subunit ribosomal RNA", at positions 37 to 735 of the family's 1533-position model. The record is from RNAcentral. Lineage: Bacteria; Pseudomonadati; Pseudomonadota; Gammaproteobacteria; Pseudomonadales; Pseudomonadaceae.